RNAcentral lists this ribosomal RNA (254 nucleotides) under uncultured bacterium. RNAcentral's name for it is "partial 16S ribosomal RNA". It matches the Rfam family "Bacterial small subunit ribosomal RNA", at positions 524 to 776 of the family's 1533-position model. The record is from RNAcentral.
UACGGGGGGAGCAAGCGUUGUUCGGAUUUACUGGGCGUAAAGGGCGCGUAGGCGGCCAGCACAAGUCGGUUGUGAAAUCCCCGGGCUCAACCCGGGAACUGCGUCCGAUACUGGAAGGCUUGAAUCCGGGAGAGGGAUGCGGAAUUCCAGGUGUAGCGGUGAAAUGCGUAGAUAUCUGGAGGAACACCGGUGGCGAAGGCGGCAUCCUGGACCGGCAUUGACGCUGAGGCGCGAAAGUGUGGGGAGCGAACAGG